ACGGAGGCAGCAGUAGGGAAUAUUGCACAAUGGGGGGAACCCUGAUGCAGCAACGCCACGUGUGGGAAGAAGCAUUUCGGUGUGUAAACCACUGUCGUGAGGGAAUAAUGCUUGGCUCCGGCCAAGUUGAAUGUACCUCGAAAGGAAGCACCGGCAAACUUCGUGCCAGCAGCCGCGGUAAUACGAGGGGUGCAAGCGUUGUUCGGAAUCACUGGGCGUAAAGGGAGCGUAGGCGGAGACGCAAGCAGUCUGUACAAUACCGGGGCCCAACCCCGGACCUGCAGACUGGACUGUGUCUCUUGGAUAGUUCAGGGGCAGGCGGAAUUCCUGGUGUAGCGGUGGAAUGCGUAGAGAUCAGGAAGAACACCGAUGGCGAAGGCAGCCUGCUGGGGACUCAUCGACGCUGAGGCUCGAAAGUGCGGGUAGCAAACAGGAUUAGAUACCCUGGUA
RNAcentral lists this ribosomal RNA (450 nucleotides) under uncultured Fibrobacter sp. RNAcentral's name for it is "partial 16S ribosomal RNA". It matches the Rfam family "Bacterial small subunit ribosomal RNA", at positions 341 to 792 of the family's 1533-position model. The record is from RNAcentral. Lineage: Bacteria; Pseudomonadati; Fibrobacterota; Fibrobacteria; Fibrobacterales; Fibrobacteraceae.